AGUGAUUGCAUCCUGUCUGUGGAGGAGCAUGGCAUCCCCAGCCUUUUUUGCUGCGCUCUCGUCGACGUGUCAACGUCAGGCCACAAAAUCUCCCCAGUCCGAGAACUUAAUUGUACAAUGUCAUUCUUUUACGUGGCCACGAUCAACUUCUUGUUUCCAGGUAACUUGAGCUUCACAACACACUGCUGCCUCCAAGCUUUCCCACCUGGUCCCAGCAGACGGCAGCCACACGGACAAGCAGCGGAGCUCCUUGCCUCAAGCCGCAGGCCGUGAGCGAAGCCCGGGUGGAGCGAGGCCCGGGUGGAGCCAGGCCCCGCCCUCCACCAUCCCAGCAUGCUUUGGGCACAGGUUCCGCAGCAGCUGAAGAAUCCCAGUAGUGGCUGCACGCGAAGCGCUUGAUGUCCAUCUGUUGCUGACUUUGACUAGACCCCACUAAACACUCAGAGUGGAUGAAGAAAGAUGUGGAAUACUGAGGAAGGGGCAGAACUGAAGACAACAUUGUCCUGGCUCUGGACAUAUAAUUUUGUUUAACCUUCAAGUCAAGCCAAGGAUCCUCUGGUGUGCAAAUCACGACAGUGGAAUGAUGCAAUGGGGCAUAUGGACAAUGAAUCAGGUAAUAAAUUGAGUGUAACACUAAUUAUAUUCACUAUGAACUGAAAUAUAUACAUUUGAUGACCGUGAUGGCACACCAAUGUUCAAAGCCCAAGGUGAAAAAUGCAUUUCAACUUCUCUCUUUAUAAAAACUCAGCAGCCUGCUACAGUCUGUGUCUGGCAUCAAAUUCUAUAUAUCUACCUGUGUUUUCAGUGUGGAAACCCAAUUCCUAAAGGAAAGGUCAUUAUCAUUAUUAAGUUUUAUAAGAAAAUCAGUACGUACUAGUAUCUAUUUAAUAACGGAGACAUCAUGAAUGUCAGACUUAACACAAGUUGCAGAGUGCUAAUAACUCCUAAAGUGUAUCCUUGUCUCAAGUAGAAGUCAGUAUUGGAAAUUUUAUAUUACCUGCUCUGCCUGAAAGCAUUAAAAAGUAUUUCUGUAAUAGCUAGGCAAAAAAAAAAAGUGACUUUUUUACAACUUUGCCUAAUUUCUGGUUCAAUUUCAAAGCUGAUAAUAGUCAAGUCAUAUGGCAUUGGCUUAAAUUAAGCAAAGGGAUUAUUUUAACUACAAACAUUUUGUAUUGCCUUCAGGAUGAAAUAAAGCAUUUAUGUGUGUCUGUUUGCAAGUUUGUAAGGCAUAUGUGUUCUAGAUACAUCAUUAGCUAUAUCAAAAAUGUUUUUUCCAUAGUUCUUUUAGUUUUGGAAUUGCAUGGAUAUAAAAUAUGCAUUUAUUCAGAAACUAAACAAAAAAACUUUAGUAAUUUCUGCAUUACAAUGACCCUAAUUCAAGUCCAGUGAUAGAUUGAAAGAGGUUGUUUCUUUUUCUAUUAUAUAUUUAAAUUAAAAAUAGGAAGAUGUAGUUUCUACUAAUGAGUUUUGUAGGGCUGUUUUAAUAUGAUGUCCCUUAGGAGAUUUCUUCACUCGGUAUGAAGGCUCCUAAGAGGUGCUUGUGCACCUGAUUAAUUCAUAAAUGGCGCUGAGGGCUGCACAUUUGCCCAAUCCUAGUUAAAUCAUAGUAGGCGGCUAUUCCUCUGUAGGAUGCACUGCAAAUUGUGAUGCUCUUAUUAUACACCUAAUUACAGCAUUCUACACCAGUCUUAUUCUUUUCAUAAAUUCUUACAAAUGUGACGUCCAUUUUAGAAGUUAGAGAUCGAGGUUCAUUAAAAUGACUUCAAUCCAUAUGAUUGAGAUAGAACGGUGACUUGUCAUUCAAUAGAAAAAUGCUCUGAAAUUCUAAGAAUAUAUAUUAAAAUAUGGAGAAAUUAAAACAUAACGAUUUACAGAAUUAAUUUUGUGUUAAGAAUAAUAAGCAAGUAGUUACUAUGUGAAUAUAAGAUGAACAAAUGAAAAACAUUAGAAACUAUAGAUGUAGUAGUUUUGGGGUGAGUAACCAGUUUAAAAUUUUUCAUGUUCUAGAGCAUAACACUUAAUCCUUCUGUACCCCUGUACCUUGUGCAGGGUAGUAAUCCAACCUAUCUU
Long non-coding RNA from Felis catus (domestic cat), 2070 nucleotides. RefSeq lists it as uncharacterized. NCBI's taxonomy places the organism in Eukaryota, Metazoa, Chordata, Mammalia, Carnivora, Felidae. The record is from RefSeq and is a predicted model, not a curated record. The transcript is spliced from 3 exons.